UCAGUCGACUCCUACGGGGAGGCAGCAGUGGGGGAAUAUUGGACAAUGGGGGGGAACCCUGAUCCAGCCAUGCCGCGUGUGUGAAGAAGGCCUUAUGGUUGUAAAGCACUUUAAGCGAGGAGGAGGCUACUGAGACUAAUACUCUUGGAUAGUGGACGUUACUCGCAGAAUAAGCACCGGCUAACUCUGUGCCAGCAGCCGCGGUAAUACAGAGGGUGCGAGCGUUAAUCGGAUUUACUGGGCGUAAAGCGUGCGUAGGCGGCUUUUAAGUCGGAUGUGAAAUCCCCGAGCUUAACUUGGGAAUUGCAUUCGAUACUGGGAAGCUAGAGUAUGGGAGAGGAUGGUAGAAUUCCAGGUGUAGCGGUGAAAUGCGUAGAGAUCUGGAGGAAUACCGAUGGCGAAGGCAGCCAUCUGGCCUAAUACUGACGCUGAGGUACGAAAGCAUGGGGAGCAAACAGGAUUAGAUACCCUGGUAG
RNAcentral lists this ribosomal RNA (476 nucleotides) under uncultured bacterium. Its description in RNAcentral is "bacterial SSU rRNA". It matches the Rfam family "Bacterial small subunit ribosomal RNA", at positions 328 to 793 of the family's 1533-position model. The record is from RNAcentral.